This 468-nucleotide ribosomal RNA is filed under the name uncultured bacterium. RNAcentral's name for it is "partial 16S ribosomal RNA". It matches the Rfam family "Bacterial small subunit ribosomal RNA", at positions 28 to 507 of the family's 1533-position model. The record is from RNAcentral.
GACGAACGCUGGCGGCGUGCUUAACACAUGCAAGUCGAACGGAAAGGCCCUGCUUUUGUGGGGUGCUCGAGUGGCGAACGGGUGAGUAACACGUGAGUAACCUGCCCUUGACUUUGGGAUAACUUCAGGAAACUGGGGCUAAUACCGGAUAGGAGCUCCUGCUGCAUGGUGGGGGUUGGAAAGUUUCGGCGGUUGGGGAUGGACUCGCGGCUUUUCAGCUUGUUGGUGGGGUAGUGGCUUACCAAGGCUUUGACGGGUAGCCGGCCUGAGAGGGUGACCGGGCACAAUGGGACUGAGAUACGGCCCAGACUCCUACGGGAGGCAACAGUGGGGAGUAUUGCACAAUGGGCGGAAGCCUGAUGCAGCAACGCCGCGUGCGGGAUGACGGCCUUCGGGUUGUAAACCGCUUUCGCCUGUGACGAAGCGUGAGUGACGGUAAUGGGUAAAGAAGCACCGGCUAACUACGUG